Molecule: long non-coding RNA, 966 nt
Organism: Trachemys scripta elegans
Lineage: Eukaryota; Metazoa; Chordata; Testudines; Emydidae
Exons: 3
Source: RefSeq, a predicted model, not a curated record
UUUCAGCCUCUGUUACCCUCAGGAAUGAGAUAUCAGCUAAAGUCACAAGCAGAAGUGAGACUGUAGUGCUUGUAACUUGUGUGAUCAAGCGGAGUGAAUGCACUCACAGUAGUACCUCUGUCCACUGUUUCUUUUGCAGCUGCAAAAGUGGCCUUGAGGGUCUCUCCAUCCACACCAGCAGAGCGGCUCAGCCAGAACAGGAGAAAGAAGAGGACAAGGGAAGACAUGUUCCAGGAGAUCCUGAGAGCCUCGGUGCUUCAAAUACCGAGCAGAGGGCUGGGAGGAUGAAGUUCAAGGACACAAUGGACAGGGAUAGUGAGGACAGGAGAAACAGGCAGCAAGAAAUGAUAACACUUCUCAGGGAGCAAACAGACACGCUGCAGUCUCUGACUGACCUUCAGGCUCAACAGAUCCAUUCUCACCUCCCCCCACAGCCCACAGAGAACUGCAUUCCGGGACCACCCUGCAUCUGGGACCAGUGCAAUAAUCCUACCACUCCACCCUGAGGGAGAGUACAGAAAUCACAGCGGCACAUACACCAACUGUCUCUCUCACAGGCCCAGAGCUUGACAAGUGGCUUGCAACAUCUCAGCGCUGCGCUGAACCUGGAUCUUGGAGCGGCCCUUGAAGAGACAGUCUUCGAGGUAUGGGUAAAUCUGGAUACCCCAACGUCUGAGUGCCAGGCCAUCGAAUGGGAGUUCCUGGAUGGAUUGUUGAACCUCCAUUGAUAGGCCUGAUGACUGCAACCAGGAUGCGCGCCUCAUGGAAAUGGUCUAAGCCAUGAUCUGUGCCGCAGAAUCUGCCGCAUCUGAGGCUGCUUGAGGGCGCCUUGGCUACAGAUCUGCCCUCAUCGAGGAUAGCCAAGAAUUCCUUCCUGGGCUCCUCUGGCAGCGAAUCUGCAAACUUGGGCAUGGACUACCAAAUAUUAAAAUCAUAACUGCCAAGUAAGGCCUGAUGGUUGGCCAC